GGAAGGUGACCUUGACGCUGCCUCCCGCUCGGCCUGGCCCCUCCGCCUGGCGUUUCAGGGCUGCACGGAGACCACCGAUGCCCUGCUCCACACCAACUGCGUCCUUUUCCCUAGAGAGAAACUGAGGCAGAGAGGGCCCCAGUUCUGCCCUGGGCAAUGCGUGCCCACUGCCCAUCUCCCUGGAGAGCCAGCCUGUGCCAGGCAGCUGCAUCUGCCUCCCACCCUGUCAUGAGCUGUCAGCCUUGAUUUUGUCCCACAUUUGCUGUGUGAUCUUGGGAAAGUCAUUGUGCCCCUCCAACCGUCAUCAAGCACCCUUGCACAGACA
RNAcentral lists this long non-coding RNA (325 nucleotides) under Homo sapiens (human). RNAcentral describes it as "HSALNT0399091". The record is from RNAcentral. Lineage: Eukaryota; Metazoa; Chordata; Mammalia; Primates; Hominidae.